RNAcentral lists this non-coding RNA (63 nucleotides) under unclassified sequences. RNAcentral describes it as "RAGATH-18 RNA". It matches the Rfam family "RAGATH-18 RNA". From Rfam's summary of the family: Actinobacteria, Firmicutes, Fusobacteria, Thermotogae (1 example). Nearby to self-cleaving ribozyme genes The record is from Rfam by way of RNAcentral.
CCUCUGGAGUGUCACAUCAACGCUAGUUAGCUUUGGCGAAAGCGGACACGUAUGAAUGAGGAA